RNAcentral lists this long non-coding RNA (1245 nucleotides) under Sus scrofa (pig). RNAcentral describes it as "lncRNA (ENSSSCG00070000446.1)". The record is from RNAcentral. Lineage: Eukaryota; Metazoa; Chordata; Mammalia; Artiodactyla; Suidae.
AUGCAAAUCACCGGCAGCGCAGGGCAUGGGUCAGCAGGAAGUCCUUCCUCCCAGUGCCGCUUCUCAGACUGCUAACCAGGACUCGUGUGAACCUCUCCGGAGACUCAGAUAAAAUGAAAAAGAGAAAGGAUGUGGUCGCCGCUUUAGAGAUUAAUGAGGAAAACAAGCGGAAUGAAAGGGCUUUGCCACCAAGCACAGAAAGCAGAGGAAAGAGCCCUCCUUUUCAGAGAAAUGGGACUUGGCUGAGGGACGCAGGACAUGCCAUCAUUCUCAAGCUUGUGGCCAGCUCCUUGGUGCAGACCACCUAAUAGAGACACUGCAGUGUGAAACAAACUUUGUUCAUCCAUAAACUGGAUUGCUCAGCAAAUAUUUAUUGAGCACCUGCUGCGGGCUAAGCCCUGAUCCCCGUUGUGAGGACUCAUCAAUAAAUGAGACAGAAAAGGACUCUUCUCUCCUAAAGCUGACCUGCUUGGAAACAGGAGCACGCUGCAAGAUGGAUUUCCGAGAAGGAUGCAUACUUUGAAGAAUUAUAAAGAAGGGAUGUGGGGGAGGGGAGCGGAGGUGGCAUGUGAUGUAAAUUGCAGUUUUCCUGAAGGGCACCAUCCACAUGGACAUCCAGGAGCUCUGAGUAGAGUUCUGAACCAGGGAGGGGCUGGGUGUAAGGAGAACUGGCUGAGCAAAGAGAGGAGCAAGGAUCCUGGAGUGGGGCGGGGUGCGUGGACACAUCGGAGGGGCCAAGUGUCCAGGGUCGAAACAACCUACAGGUCCCUGUGUUUGGCUGGCCGAGUCCUAAAAUGAAGGCAAUGGGGGAGCAGUCUGACAGGUCCACAUGCAUCAACCUCCCGGAUACAGAGCAGGGGAAUGGGCGGAUCAUGGCCCUGGAAAAGCCGGUACCCCAGCUCGGCACAAAACAGUCUUAGGGAUGAGCCCCUCCCGGAGACCAAAGGAUGGAGGCUGCAUCGAGGAGCACUCCCUGAGGAGCUGGCCCACUCCUGCAUCCCCAGUGCCAACCCCUGCAAACACCAGGCUGCAUGCUGGCCAUGCCUAGAGGGACCAAGCUGGGAAGGGCAGGACUUGCUCACAGACAAGAGGAAAAAUGAGCAGAUUGAAGUAGGAACAUGGCCACUGCAUUCUCCCCCCGGCAUGCAAGGCAACAUGGGCCCUGGGCCCAGGACCUUGGCCGACAGUGUUAUCACCUGGAUCCCAGUCUACCGGGGUGAUGUCUGGCUUCCCCCACACAACUGA